UACGAAGGGGGCGAGCGUUGUUCGGAUUUACUGGGCGUAAAGGGCGCGUAGGCGGCGAGCCAAGUCGAGUGUGAAAGCCCCGGGCUCAACCUGGGAAUUGCGCUUGGGACUGGCCUGCUGGAGAUCGGGAGAGGAGAGUGGAAUUCCCAGUGUAGAGGUGAAAUUCGUAGAUAUUGGGAAGAACACCGGUGGCGAAGGCGGCUCUCUGGACCGAUACUGACGCUGAGGCGCGAAAGCGUGGGGAGCAAACAGG
RNAcentral lists this ribosomal RNA (253 nucleotides) under uncultured bacterium. RNAcentral's name for it is "partial 16S ribosomal RNA". It matches the Rfam family "Bacterial small subunit ribosomal RNA", at positions 524 to 776 of the family's 1533-position model. The record is from RNAcentral.